AGUGAGGUGAGGUGAGGUUCCUGGUUCCACUGUUCCAAGGAAAGACAACAGAGGAACAGCUAUGGAGCCAGUGCUCAGUGGGCAGGAUGGGGCGGAGGGUGAUCCCACUUUUCUUCCAGGUGAACCUUAAUCAUUUCAAGUUUCGAAUAGAUAGAAACUUGUCCCAUUUUGUUACACAGAGCAGGCUCUCAAACCAGCAUUACAAACAUGUCACACCAGGGAAGAGGAGCCUCAGGCCCAGGGACUAAAUGUGGCUCUGAAGACUUUCUAUAUGGCCCUUGGGAUGUAUAUGGAUGUUUUUAGUAGUGAGGUAUAAAGAAAAUGUUAUUUUCCUCAUAUCUCCCUGGGCAAUGCUAGAUGGAAAUUGGCUCUGUUGGGCUUUGAAAUGAAACCAUCCCAUGGACUCCCCCAUGGGAAAGACCACGUUCCAGCUAACUCAGAUAAUGAAGGAAUCCUAUUUGUGUUACAGCAGGGUCUCUCCAGACUGUUGCACAUGAACCUCUGCUCAUCCAAGGGGAAAGCAAGAGCAAUGGGCAUUCUUGGGCAGCCAAUCACUAAUAGUAACCAGCAGGAUCCUGUGCAACACACCUCACAAUUGUCUGAAAUGAAUGCACUAUCCUGGGGUGGGGGACCCCAGCAUUUAGCAAAUUUGCAGAUAUAAGGAAAUUCAAUAUCUCUACAACAGAAGCCCAGUUUUGUGUGUGCGUGUUUGGAGUGGGGAGACUUGGCCUCUUCAGCUGUGUGAAGAAAUUGAGAAAUCCUAAAUCACAAACCCUCUUACCACUUUCUCAGCCGCACAGGGAAACCAAGGUAUGAUUCGUAAACCAGCACUCGUGGACCACCUGAAGUCUCGCCUGUGAUUUAUAUAGGAAAGAGGAGGAAUGGUGAACACUGAAGCUACUUUUUUGAGUUAAGUACCACCAAGAAUGCAACAUCUUAUUGCUGCACAAGGGAUAAUUCUGUUGAUAGAAAAUAAAAAAAUCUGUUUAUUUACUAUGCAAGACAACUCACCAUUAUGAUGGUCCUUUAACAUUGUCAACCUGAUCCCAAAGGUUCCAGAGCAUAGUAACCCACCCAGAGAAUUCCCUUCUGAACCUCGGUUAGCAGGUUUGAAAACAUGCAAAAGGAUUUCUGGCAAAGAAUAAAAACUAUAUUUUUUUGUGGCGCUGUUCACUGACAGAAAGAGCACUCAGAUUGCUUUCUUUUCUUUUUUUGCCAGAAAGAAAAUAUUGCAAUGCUUUCUUUUCUUUUUUUGCCAGAGAGAAAAUAUUGCAAGGCAGAGAACACCCCCAAUGGCUUCUUUGUAGGGAUUUAUUUUAUUUUAUUUUUUUUAAUAAUUUUUGAUUAAGUUUUUAAACAAACAAAAAAGAAAAACAACACACACAAAAAACAAUACAAAACUUAACAAUAUAAACACAAAACAAUUAAUAACGAACUCUCUUUUCCAUUACCAAUUUUAAGUUACUUAUUUUCUGGACUUCCUCAUACCUCCCUCUUUUGUAUUCCAAUCCACAUUUAUUUAUCCAGCAGUUUCUUUUCCACUUUUUAAUCCCAAUCUUUAAUUUAAUAAAAUGUUAAAAUAUAUAACUUCAACUCUUUUAAACCUAAUCCUUGAUCUUAAUAUCCUGUAACUUUAAAGUUUUCCCUUUUAAAAUCAAAUUUCCAUUUCUUUAAACUUCUUUAAUCUUAAUCUUUAAUCUUAAUCUAUCCUUAACUUUAACCUAUGCAGCUGGAAACCACUUAUUUUCAGUCCAACAUCACUCUAACAUUCCUUAAUUUUGCAGUGUUUCUGAAGAUAGUCUUUGAAUUUCUUCCAGUCUUCCUCCAUCGACUCUUCUCCCUGGUCACGGAUUCUGCCAGUCAUUUCCGCCAAUUCCAUAUAGUCCAUAAGUUUCAUCUGCCAUUCCUCCAGCGUGGGAAGUUCUUGUGUCUUCCAAUACUUUGUGAUGAGUAUUCUUGCUGCUGUUGUUGCAUACAUAAAGAAAGUUCUAUCCUUUUUUAACACCAUUUGGCCCACUAUGCCCAGGAGAAAGGCCUCUGGUUUCUUAGGGAAGGUAUACUUAAAUACCUUUUUUAAUUCAUUAUAUAUCAUUUCCCAGAAAGCCUUAAUCUUUGGGCACGUCCACCAAAGGUGAAAAAAUGUACCUUCAAUUUCUUUACAUUUCCAACAUUUGUUAUCGGGCAAGUGAUAGAUUUUCGCAAGCUUGACUGGGGUUAUGUACCACCUGUAUAUCAUUUUCAUAAUAUUCUCUCUUAAGGCAUUACAUGCCGUAAAUUUCAUACCUGUGGUCCAUAACUGUUCCCAGUCAGCAAACAUAAUGUUAUGACCAACGUCCUGUGCCCAUUUAAUCAUAGCCGAUUUUACCGUUUCAUCUUGAGUAUUCCAUUUCAGCAGCAAGUUAUACAUUCUUGACAAAUUCUUAGUAUUGGGUUCUAACAAUUCUGUUUCUAAUUUGGAUCUUUCCACCUGGAAGCCAAUUUUCCUGUCCAAUUUAAAUACCUCCAUUAUUUGAUAAUAAUGAAGCCAGUCUCGCACGUGGUUUUUUCGUUUUUCAAAACUCUGCAAUUUCAGUCUAUCUCCGUCUUGUUCCAAAAUUUCCCAAUAUUUCGGCCAUUUGACCUCCAUAUUGACCUUUUUCAAGGCUUUCGCUUCCAUUGGUGACAGCCACCUUGGGGUUUUAUUUUCUAACAAAUCCUUAUAUCUUAUCCAAACAUUAAACAGCGCUUUCCUGACAAUGUGGUUUUUAAAUGCUUUAUGUGCUUUGACCUUAUCAUGCCAUAAAUAUGCAUGCCAUCCAAAUACAUUAUUAAAACCUUCUAGAUCCAAAAUGUCAGUGUUUUCAAGAAGUAGCCAUUCUUUCAACCAGCAAAAGGCUGCUGAUUCAUAGUACAGUUUAAGGUCUGGCAGGGCAAAUCCACCUCUUUCCUUUGCAUCCGUUAAUAUUUUAAAUUUUAUUCUGGGUUUCUUGCCCUGCCAGACAAAUUUAGAAAUAUCUUUCUGCCACCUCUUGAAACAAUCCAUUUUGUCCACAAUCUGCAAAGUUUGAAACAAAAACAACAUUCUGGGCAAUACAUUCAUCUUUAUCGCAGCAAUACGGCCUAGCAGUGAAAGCUUCAAAUUUGACCAAAUUUCUAAAUCUUUUUUCACUUCUGACCAACAUUUUUCAUAGUUAUCUUUAAAUAAGUUCCCAUUUUUUGCUGUCAUGUUAAUCCCCAAGUAUUUAACUUUCUUAACCACUGUUAAACCUGUCUCAUUCUGAAACCUCUCUCUUUCAAACGGUGUAAAAUUUUUCUCUAAAACCUUGGUUUUUGACUUGUUCAAUUUAAAUCCUGCCACUUGACCAAAUUCUUGAAUCAGUUCUAAAACCCUUUUAGUACUAGAUUCUGGCUCCUGUAACGUCAAUACUAAGUCAUCUGCAAAUGCUCUCAAUUUAUAGUGUUUAGUUCCGACCUGUAUACCUUUAACCAUCUGGUCCUUUCUAAUCAUAUUCAGCAGAACCUCCAGGACCGAAAUAAAAAGAAGUGGGGAAAUUGGGCAACCUUGUCGUGUCCCUUUUUCAAUUUUCAGUUCUUCCGUCAUGUGAUGGGAUUAUGAGCUGCUUGUGCGUAAAAUCGUAUUCCCUCAGAGUUUGUUCAAGUCCACAAACCUCUGUCUGUGACUGAGCCCCUCUGACAUGGCUCCUCUAGUCACUAGAAGAUUCCGACAGUGGUUGCUUUCGUAAUCGCUUCCAACAUAAAAGCUCCUUAACGGAAACACGUCUUCUGGACUCUCUGCGUGACAGUUUCCGGCGAGGAGUGGGUGUCGCUACAGGAGGUCCGGAAACCUCACCACUGUUUUCGCUGGAAGUAUCUCUGAGCCAUCCCCCAGCUCCCUUUCCCUCAGUUCAGCUUCUCUCCCCUACUGGUUUCCUGUUCCGCUGCUGAGUCUCUUCCAACCUGUCUGAGCCCUUUCACCUCCCUCAGUUCAGCUUCUCUCCCUUGCUGGUUCCCUCUUCAGCUGCUGAAUCUCUUCCAACCUGUCUGAGUCCUUUCACCUCCCUUCCUUCCGAUGGCAGUUCCCUGACAUCCACCUCCCCUCCAGGGCCCCCUUCACCCCCUCUCGCCCCCUCCUCUACGGGCGGUGAGGAGGCAAAACCCGGAAUGAACUUCCUUCAUCUUCCGAUGUCUCGAACACUUCUCUCCACCUGUUGCGGUUCCUGGUCUCGAAGCACUCCUCCUCCUCCGAGUCCAUCUCCCCUUCCCCUUCCGAUUCUGGGAAUCCUUCCAACUCCUCCUCCUCCUCAGUGGUCCCAAAGUAUUCCCUCCGGAACCUCUCCACAGGCUGAGGUUUCCGCGGGAACCUUUGAUGGAACAUUUCUAUCAAUACCUCGUCAUUGAUAUCUUUGGCCAUUACCCACGUGUUUUCUGACUCCGGUUCUCCUUCCCACGCUACCAAAUACUCCACCUGAUUCCCCUUCCACCUGGCAUCAAGGAUUUCUGCCACAUGACUGCUGCAUUCUCUUUCUUCUAUGACCGGUCCCGAGUGGCCAUCCCUUCUCGUCCCCUCGUACGGUGACAGUAACGACCUGUGAAAUACUGGGUGCAGUUUCAUGUGGUUGGGUAACCGGAGCCUGAAAGCCACUGGGUUGACCUGUUGAAUGACCUCAAAGGGACCCAACCUCCUGGGUCGUAAUUUCUUACAACCUCCUUUGAACGGCACCCCUCGGGUUGACAGCCACACCCUAUCUCCAACCCUUAUGGUUUCACCUUCCCUUCGGUUCUUGUCUGCCUGCCUCUUGUAUUCUUCCUUCGCCCUUUCUAAGUUGAGUUGGAGCUGACGGUGGAUUGCUUCCAUUUCUUCUACAAAAUGCUCGGCUGCCGGUACGUUCCAUCUCUCCCCUUCUCCCCCUGGGAAAGCCCUGGGAUGACACCCAUAAUUAGCCAAGAAGGGGCUCAUCCCUGUGGACACAUUCUCGGCAUUGUUGUAGGCAAAUUCCGCCAGCGCCAACUUUUCUACCCAGUCAUUCUCUCUGUCAUUGACAUAACACCUCAGGUAUUGCUGGAGGACACCGUUUGCUCUUUCCGCCUGCCCGUUGGUUUCAGGGUGCCGGGCAGUCGAAAGUUGACCUCCACCUGCAGUAAGCUCAUGAGCUUCCUCCAGAACCUGGAAGUAAAUUGUUUUCCUCGGUCUGAGACCACCCUCAAUGGCACCCCGUGCAACCUAAAAAUGUGUUCUACAAAUAACUUCGCUGUCUCUUCCGCCGUGACUGCAUGCGAGCAAGCUACAAAGUGGCACAUCUUUGUUAGUAGGUCUACCACCACCAUGAUGGCUGUUUUCCCUUUGGACUUCGGCAGAUCAGUCAUAAAAUCUAUCGACACUGCCUCCCAAGGUCGUUCUGGUGUUGGUAAGGGUUCUAAUAGCCCCGCCGGCGCCCGCCUUUCCCCUUUGGCUCGCUGGCACUGCUCGCACCCUCUUACAUACUCACGUACAUCCUCCCUCACCUUAGGCCACCAAAAUUCCCUGGUGACCAACCACAUGGUUUUGUGUUGCCCAAAAUGCCCGCCGUGGGGCUGUCAUGCAACUGCUUGAGUACCCUCCCCUUAAGUCUCCUUCAGGGAUAUACAGUGCCCCUUUGUAAUACAAAGCUCCAUUUCUUUCCUCGAAACCCCUUGAUUCCUCUCCCUCAUCCCUAAGACCUCUGAGCUUAUUCUGGGCGUAUUCAUCAUUCUCUGUUUCUUCUACCAGUUCUCUUUGUCCCACCAAUGCCGCCCCACACACCCAGCGGUCCUCUGGAAUGACAUGUCUCUCUUCGGGUGCUCCCUCCCCUCCCAAUAUUCAGGUUUGCGUGAGAGAGCGUCCGCCCUAAUGUUCUCUGGGCCUGGCACGUAACAAAUCUCAAAGUUAAAUUUGGAGAAUUCCUGGGCCCAUCUCACUUGCCGUUGGUUGAGCACUCGUGCCGUCCUCCAAUACUCUAGGUUCUUGUGGUCAGUGCACACUUGCACCUUAUGUUGUGCGCCAAUUAGCAGGUGCCUCCAUCUCCGGAACGCCUCAUGAAUGGCUAGUAGUUCUCGGUCAUACACCGUGUAGUUCCUCUCGGAUUUGUUCAGCUUUCGCGAAAAAAAGCACACGGUCUCCACUCUGACUCCUCCUUCCCUGGCUGGAGAAGCACCGCCCCAACCGCUCUGUCUGAUGCGUCAGUUUCCACUCUCAUCGGUUUUUGUAAAUCCACAUGCAGGAGCUGUUGUUCCGAGGCGAAGGCCCUUUUAGUUCCUCAAAUGCUUGCUCCGCCUCCUCCGUCCAAACGAACUUCUUCUUACUGCUGAGACAGUCCGUAAUGGGCGCCGUCAGGUGGGCAAAGUUUGGGAUGAACUUACGAUAGAAGUUCCCAAACCCUAAAAACCUCUGCACAUCCUUCCUUGUUUUGGGUGUUUUCCAUUCCAGUACCGCCUGGACCUUGUCGGGAUCCAUGGCCAACCCCUUGUCAGACAGGCGAUACCCCAGGAAUUCCACCUCCUUGGUAUGAAACUGACACUUCUCCAGUUUCACCCACAGCUGGUUGGCUUGCAGCCUGCUCAACACUUCUCUGACGUCUCUCACAUGCUGCUCCUCAUUCUCAGAAUACACCAACACGUCGUCUAAAAAGGCCACACAAUUCUUGUAAAGCAACGGCCCCAGGACGUGGUUCAUAAACGAUUGAAAUGUUGCGGAGCCUGCUUGUAGACCGAAGGGCAUAACUAAGUAUUCAAAUGCCCCUAAAGGGGUGAACAUGGUGGUUUUCCAUUCAUCCCCCUUCCUUAUUCUUAUCAGGUUGUACGCCCCCCUUAGAUCCAGCUUGGUAAAAAUCUUUCCCUUCCGCACCCUUGUCAAAAUGUCGUCAAUCCUGGGCAUCGGGAAGGCCACUGGUUCUGACACUGCAUUUAAGGCCCUGAAGUCACACACCAGUCUCGGCUUGUUCGUGUUUUUUUGUCCACAAAAACACUGGGCUGCCCCCCACCGCCCUGGACUCUCUGAUGAACCCUCUCUUCAGGUUCUUGUCAAUGAACUCUCUUAGCUCCUGCAUCUCUCUGUCUGACAUGGCGUACAGCUUGCCUACAGGGAGCUGUGCCCCAGGGAGCAAAUUGAUUUGACAGUCAAAGGCUCUAUGCGGUGGUAGUUGGUCAGCUUCCCUUUCGCUGAAAACGUCGCGGAGAUCUGCGUAUUGUCGUGGUACCUUCACGUUCUCCGUCACUUCAGUCCCUGCUAGAGUGGCUUGGGCCCCUGCCAAAACCCUUCCCUCUUUGCAAUGUUCUAAGCAAUGUGCUGACCCAAAAGAAACCACUCUUUGAUGCCAGCCCACCAGCGGAUCAUGUAACGCUAGCCAGCUCAUCCCCAAUAUAAUGGGAGCUCCUCCCAAGGUGGCCACAUUAAAUGCUAUUAGUUCGGUGUGCCUUGCCACCUUCAUUAUCAUUGGGACGGUCUGCAAGCUGACUUCUCCUCCCAACAGCUCCCUGCCAUCGAUCGUGGUUACCUGCAGGGGGUUGCUUAAAGGGAGCGUCUGUAUCUGGUGUUCAGCUGCAAACUCUUUGCUCAUGAAAUUGCAGGAGCUGCCUGAGUCCAACAGCGCCUUUAUCUUUAGAGGGUGUCCGUUUGGCAGCUCUAGUGUCACUUCUAUCACUAGGGCGGGUUUAGGAGGUUCUGGAGUGGGCACUUUCACUGCUCUUUGGCCUGGCUGCUGUGCCCGACAAUGGCAGCCAGGCGUUGGCUUUUAGUUGCUCCGGUAUUUUUCCUCUCUUCCCUCCACAGCUCCCACCAUCCCUUGCCAUUCCUUCCUCUGGGGGCAGACUCUGGCAAAGUGCCCUGGCUGUUGGCAGAGAUAGCAUUUCCGGGCGCCUUUUCCAUCCUUCUUCCCCCCUCACUGGGCUUUGAAACUGCGCGCGCGCGCGCUGUUCCGAUUUCCAUCGGCUCUGCCGGCGGGACAGUUGGCUCUGGAAUGUCUGGAAUGCGGAACUCCUUCCAACGUUCCCCUUUCCCUUCCCGCCUCUCCAAUGCUCUCGCCUCCUGGCGCGCUCCUAUGGCCAGCGCUGAUUUGGUCAGCUGGUCCAUAGACUCCGCCCUGGGCGCCCGGGAAAGUUCAUCUUUCACAGCCGAAGAAAGCCCUUCUUCAAAGAGCAUUUGAAUGGGUUCCGCCGAUAAGUCCCACCCCAAUCUGUGUAUCAGCAUGGUGAACUCAGUCCAGUACUCACGUACAGAUCGGCUCCCCUGUUUGCAAGCCAUUAACUGUCUGCGCACCACUCCCUUUUCAAUAUCGCUGGAAAACAUCAAAUCCAUGGCGCGAAAGAACUUCAUUGUGUCCUUUAGGACGUCACUAUGCGCUGCCAUCAGGGGUCUCACCCAGUCUCUCGCCCCCUUUUCAAGAUGCCCAAUCACAAAAGCCACUCGUGAUUCCUCAUCAGGGAAAUCAUCAAACUGCAGAUUGAGGGCAUAUUGCAUUUCUGUCCGAAAGCUAUGAUAGUCUUUGGGCUCCCCCCCAAAUUUCUGCACCAAUCCUGGUACCUUUCUGGCGAGCUGGGUGGCUUUCUCCCUUUGUCUGCAUCUUGCGCCCUCCUCUCCUCCAGCCUCGCCGUCUGCAGCGCCAGCUGGACCUCCAACACCCGGUACCUUUCUUCCAGGCUUGGACCCGCUCCAGCCCCUGCUUCUCCGGUUCCUGCUGGGUUGCUCAUUAUGCCUUCUCCUGCACAAGCUGCGUUCAAAGACUGUCGGAAUGCUGUGAUGGGAUUAUGAGCUGCUUGUGCGUAAAAUCGUAUUCCCUCAGAGUUUGUUCAAGUCCACAAACCUCUGUCUGUGACUGAGCCCCUCUGACAUGGCUCCUCUAGUCACUAGAAGAUUCCGACAGUGGUUGCUUUCGUAAUCGCUUCCAACAUAAAAGCUCCUUAACGGAAACACGUCUUCUGGACUCUCUGCGUGACAGUUUCCGGCGAGGAGUGGGUGUCGCUACAGGAGGUCCGGAAACCUCACCACUGUUUUCGCUGGAAGUAUCUCUGAGCCAUCCCCCCAGCUCCCUUUCCCUCAGUUCAGCUUCUCUCCCCUACUGGUUUCCUGUUCCGCUGCUGAGUCUCUUCCAACCUGUCUGAGCCCUUUCACCUCCCUCAGUUCAGCUUCUCUCCCCUUGCUGGUUCCCUCUUCAGCUGCUGAAUCUCUUCCAACCUGUCUGAGUCCUUUCACCUCCCUUCCUUCCGAUGGCAGUUCCCUGACACGUCACAACGUUAUUUACAAUUAGUUUAGCCUUUUGUUCUGAAUAAAUUGCACUUAUACCAUUCUCAAAACCUUGGCCUACCCCCAUACCCUGAAGAUUCUUCUUCAUAAAAUUCCAAGAAAUAUUGUCAAAGGCUUUCUCCGUGUCUACAAAUAUCAACACUGCUUUAGUGUUUAUAUUCACUUCUAAUUUCUCCAAAAUAUCAAUUAUAUUCCUCAAAUUAUCAGACAAAUGUAUUCCUGGGAGAAAGCCCGCUUGGUCUUUAUGAAUCUCUUCCAACAGCACUUUUUUAAAUCUCUUAGCCAAAAUAUCUGCAAAAAUUUUGUAAUCCACAUUAAGUAAUGAUAUAGGGCGGUAGUUCUUAAGUUGUGUCUUUUCAAUCUCUGUUUUUGGUACAAGUGUAAUAUAUGCUUCUUUCCACGACUCUGGUGCCCUCUUCCCCUCCAUAAUUUCGUUGCAGACCUCUUUCAAAGGUUGAAUUAGCCAUUCUUUUAAAGAUCUGUAGUAUCUAGAGGUCAAACCGUCUGGUCCUGGAGAUUUACCCAAUUGCAUAUUUUGAAUGGCACCUUCUAAUUCCUGUUCAGUUAUUCUGUCAUUCAAAAUUAGUCUCUUUUCUUGAGAUAUUUUUGUAGUCCAUUUGUUUUCAAAAAUUGGUCUAAAUCUGUUUCUUUCACUGGCCCUUGAGUAUAUAGUCUUUUAAAAUACUUCUGGAAACAACUUCUAAUCUCCGCAGGGUUCUGUAUAUUCCUUCCUUCCACUUCCGCAGAUUCACUUGCUUUUCCUUCAAAUCUAUCACAGACAGGGUUAGUUAUUGGUCUUCCAAUUGUUUGUGCAGUGUUGGUAAUUCCUCUUGAACCUCUUUAACUUCAGUAGCAGAAGUUGUAGCAAUUUCUUUAGCCUCUUCAGCAAUCUGGCGUAUUGAGGCCGAUUCUCUAAUAAUUUCUGCAUAGUCUCUGUGUUAGUAUUUACUUUUUGGCCCAAAUUAUUUAUACUUGCUGUAUUCUGGUUAAUACUUGCUGUAUUCUGGUUAAUACUUGCUGUAUUCUGGUUAAUACUUAUUGUAUUUUGAUCAAUCUUAUCAGAUGCCUCUGCUACUUGUUGACUUAUUCUAUUCAAAGAUUCAUUAACUUUGGCCAAAACUUGAGCAAAGGAUUCCUCACUUGUUGUGCUUUUUACCUUUAAUUGUGCCGAUGAGGCUAUUGUUGAGGUUCCAGAAGGGCCUGAGGCCGAAGAUCUCCUUUGUAAUCCUUCUUCUGUGCGAAGAGGCCUCCCCGAUCUUGUAGUCGAAGCAUCCGCCUUCUCUUUCCCAUCUGCCAUUCCUUAGAUAAUGCCAAGGUCAGUCACGUAUUUGAAAUUGAACAGUGGAAAUUUCCUGCCAAGCAGUGUGAGAACUCCUCGAGUCUGCUACAGUUUCAGUUGUAACAAAUUGUAACAGUUCCAAGUUCCACUAGGGGGACACUGUAACAGUCAUAAAAGUUCUUGGAUACUUUAAUUUCUUUUUUUUUUUUUUAAGCCCCCCUAGUUUAUUCAAGACGAAAACAGUCUAUUCACAAUUUUUAACUUAGGACCAGGAGAUAUAUAUUCACAUAAAUUGUCCAAACUUUUAUUUCUUGUGCAGGACUAGCUGUCAAAAUAUAUUACAAGACAGUACCUCUCUUUCUUUCCUGAGAUCUGGAGAUCCUUUCCCAGGGAAUUGAGUGGUGGUUCGAUCCCUUCUUUUCCACUCUUUAUGAAGAAAUCACAUCCACAAUUCUCCCCCCUUUUCCCUCAAUUUAAAAAGGGAAAAGUCCAGGUUGGAUGAUUGGAUUAAAGUCCGCUAAAACGUACUUUUCAAUUGUUUCCGCUUUCAAGUUCAAUGCUUUAUUUUAUCUACAAAGAAAGAGGCUGACUUCCUUUUUAAACCUCUUUCCGUUUUCGGCCAGAUUCCAGUUUUGUACAGUUCCAAUUUUAAUUGUAUCCUACUCACGGAUCGUUGAUUUUCAGGUCCGGAUUUUAAGGAAGAAAGGCAGCGCUCUCCGAUCAACAG
This 11238-nucleotide long non-coding RNA is filed under the name Podarcis lilfordi (Lilford's wall lizard). Lineage: Eukaryota; Metazoa; Chordata; Lepidosauria; Squamata; Lacertidae. The record is from RNAcentral.